This is a non-coding RNA of Caenorhabditis elegans, 21 nucleotides long. The record is from Ensembl. NCBI's taxonomy places the organism in Eukaryota, Metazoa, Nematoda, Chromadorea, Rhabditida, Rhabditidae.
UUAGUUAGCUUUGCUCUUGCU